This 481-nucleotide small RNA is filed under the name Pan troglodytes (chimpanzee). RNAcentral's name for it is "retained intron". Lineage: Eukaryota; Metazoa; Chordata; Mammalia; Primates; Hominidae. The record is from RNAcentral.
GUCUGCCAGGGUCUCCGACUGUCCCAGACGGGCUGGUGUGGGCUUGGGAUCCUCCUGGUGACCUCUCCCGCUAAGGUCCCUCAGCCACUCUGCCCCAAGAUGGGCCGUGGGGCUGGCCGUGAGUACUCACCUGCCGCCACCACAGCAGAGAAUGGGGGCGGCAAGAAGAAACAGAAGGAGAAGGAACUGGAUGAGCUGAAGAAGGAGGUGGCAAUGGUGAGGGAACUGCUGGGCCAUGGAGGAGGGGCCCCAUGCUGGGAGAGCUGUCCCUGCAGCCCAUUGCAUUCAGAGAAACUCCGUGUCCCCCAUGCUGCUCAACUCACCCCUGUGCCCUGCAGUACCCUCAUAUGCAUCUUAGAUACCUCCUCCCCAAAGUAACUCACCCUCCCUUCCCCAGGAUGACCACAAGCUGUCCUUGGAUGAGCUGGGCCGCAAAUACCAAGUGGACCUGUCCAAGGUAAGUGGAGGGGCUUCUAGGGCA